Non-coding RNA from Sinorhizobium sp. RAC02, 115 nucleotides. NCBI's taxonomy places the organism in Bacteria, Pseudomonadati, Pseudomonadota, Alphaproteobacteria, Hyphomicrobiales, Rhizobiaceae. The record is from Rfam.
CCUGGUGGUCAUGGCGGGGUGGCUGCACCCGUUCCCAUUCCGAACACGGCCGUGAAACGCCCCAGCGCCAAUGGUACUUCGUCUUAAGACGCGGGAGAGUAGGUCGCCGCCAGGU